GGUGAACCUGCGGAGGGAUCAUUAAAGAGUUAAACAACUCCUAAACCCAUGUGAACCUACCUUUGUUGCCUCGGCAGGUCUGCAACUUACCCUGAGGGGACCUACCCUGUAGGGACCUUACCCGGUAGUUGCCGGCAUAACCUGCCGGUGGUCUACUAAACUCUGUUUACUAUGUUAUUCUGAAUAAUAUAACUAAAUAAGUUAAAACUUUCAACAACGGAUCUCUUGGUUCUGGCAUCGAUGAAGAACGCAGCGAAAUGCGAUAAGUAAUGUGAAUUGCAGAAUUCAGUGAAUCAUCGAAUCUUUGAACGCACAUUGCGCCCAUUAGUAUUCUAGUGGGCAUGCCUGUUCGAGCGUCAUUUCAACCCUUAAGCCCUGUUGCUUAGCGUUGGGAGCCUACAGAUANCCCUCUGUAGUUCCUUAAAGUUAGUGGCGGAGUCGGUUUCACACUCUAGACGUAGUAAAUUUUAUCUCGCCUAUAGAUGAGCCGGUCCCUUGCCGUAAAACCCCCUAAUUUCUAAAGGUUGACCUCGGAUCAGGUAGGAAUACCCGCUGAACUUAAGCAUAUCAAUAAGCGGAGGA
This 582-nucleotide ribosomal RNA is filed under the name Xylaria venosula. RNAcentral's name for it is "eukaryotic LSU rRNA". The stretch from base 206 to 359 matches the Rfam family "5.8S ribosomal RNA". Lineage: Eukaryota; Fungi; Ascomycota; Sordariomycetes; Xylariales; Xylariaceae. The record is from RNAcentral.